RNAcentral lists this ribosomal RNA (301 nucleotides) under uncultured bacterium. RNAcentral describes it as "partial 16S ribosomal RNA". It matches the Rfam family "Bacterial small subunit ribosomal RNA", at positions 509 to 808 of the family's 1533-position model. The record is from RNAcentral.
CAGCCGCCGCGGGAAUACGAAGGGGGCUAGCGUUGCUCGGAAUGACUGGGCGUAAAGGGCGCGUAGGCGGAUGGUACAGUCAGAUGUGAAAUUCCUGGGCUUAACCUGGGGGCUGCAUUUGAUACGUAUUGUCUAGAGUGAGGAAGAGGGUCGUGGAAUUCCCAGUGUAGAGGUUAAAUUCGUAGAUAUUGGGAAGAACACCGGUGGCGAAGGCGGCGACCUGGUCCUUGACUGACGCUGAGACGCGAAAGCCAGGGGAGCGAACGGGAUUAGAUACCCGCGUAGUCCCUGUCUCUUAUAU